AAUACGUUCCCGGCCUUGUACACACCGCCCGUCACACCACGAAAGUCGGCAACACCCGAAGCCGGUGGCCCAACCCUUUUGGGAGGGAGCCGUCGAAGGUGGGGUUGGCGAUUGGGGUG
This 119-nucleotide ribosomal RNA is filed under the name uncultured bacterium. RNAcentral's name for it is "partial 16S ribosomal RNA". It matches the Rfam family "Bacterial small subunit ribosomal RNA", at positions 1365 to 1482 of the family's 1533-position model. The record is from RNAcentral.